This 65-nucleotide transfer RNA is filed under the name Ophiotermes grandilabius. RNAcentral's name for it is "tRNA-Asn". Lineage: Eukaryota; Metazoa; Arthropoda; Insecta; Blattodea; Termitidae. The record is from RNAcentral.
UUAACUGAAACCAAAGAGAGGUAUAUUAUUGUUAAUAAUAAAAUUGAAUUAAAAUUCCGGUUAAG